RNAcentral lists this small RNA (77 nucleotides) under Xanthomonas sp. 3058. RNAcentral's name for it is "sRNA sX9". It matches the Rfam family "Xanthomonas sRNA sX9". The record is from RNAcentral. RNAcentral also lists the same sequence under 1 other name. Lineage: Bacteria; Pseudomonadati; Pseudomonadota; Gammaproteobacteria; Lysobacterales; Lysobacteraceae.
AUGUGCCACUCGUACGCUGCGGUUCUGAGCGCGUCGUCCACACCCAUCUGACGACUGCUUGUUACGUGUUGUUAGCC